RNAcentral lists this ribosomal RNA (247 nucleotides) under uncultured bacterium. Its description in RNAcentral is "partial 16S ribosomal RNA". It matches the Rfam family "Bacterial small subunit ribosomal RNA", at positions 524 to 776 of the family's 1533-position model. The record is from RNAcentral.
UACGGGGGGAGCAAGCGUUGUUCGGAUUUACUGGGCGUAAAGGGCGCGUAGGCGGCUUAACAAGUCACUUGUGAAAUCUCCGGGCUUAACUCGGAACGGCCAAGUGAAACUGUCAAGCUAGAGUGCAGAAGGGGCAAUCGGAAUUCUUGGUGUAGCGGUGAAAUGCGUAGAUAUCAAGAGGAACACCUGAGGUGAAGACGGGUUGCUGGGCUGACACUGAGACACGAAAGCCAGGGGAGCGAACGGG